RNAcentral lists this microRNA precursor (208 nucleotides) under Oryza rufipogon (brownbeard rice). Its description in RNAcentral is "MIR812 microRNA precursor family". It matches the Rfam family "MIR812 microRNA precursor family". Lineage: Eukaryota; Viridiplantae; Streptophyta; Magnoliopsida; Poales; Poaceae. The record is from Rfam by way of RNAcentral.
AAAAAGACAAACCCUGGGUUUCCGUGUCCAACGUUUGACCGUCCGUCUUAUUUGAAAAAAAUUAUGAAAAAAAAUAAAAAGACAAGUCACGCAUAAAGUAUUAAUCAUGUUUUAUCAUCUAAUAACAAUGAAAAUACUAAUUAUAAAAAAAUUUCAUAUAAGACGAAUAGUCAAAUGUUAGACACGGAAACCUAGGAUUUGUCUUUUU